GUGACAGCCACCGCGGUAAUACGGAGGGUGCAAGCGUUGUCUGGAAUCACUGGGCGUAAAGGGUGCGCAGGCGGGGCAGCAAGUCGGAGGUGAAAGCCCGUGGCUCAACCACGGAAAUGCCUUCGAAACUGUUGCUCUUGAGUCCCGGAGAGGUUGCCGGAAUUCGUGGUGUAGCGGUGAAAUGCGUAGAUAUCACGAGGAACACCAGAGGCAAAAGCGGGCAACUGGACGGGUACUGACGCUCAGGCACGAAAGCGCGGGGAGCAAACAGGAUUAGAAACCCGGGUAGUCC
This 292-nucleotide ribosomal RNA is filed under the name uncultured bacterium. RNAcentral describes it as "partial 16S ribosomal RNA". It matches the Rfam family "Bacterial small subunit ribosomal RNA", at positions 505 to 796 of the family's 1533-position model. The record is from RNAcentral.